GACGAACGCUGGCGGCGUGCCUAACACAUGCAAGUCGAACGAAGCACCUAACUUUGAUUCUUUCGGGAUGAAGAGUUUUGUGACUGAGUGGCGGACGGGUGAGUAACGCGUGAGGAACCUGCCUUUCAGUGGGGGACAACAGUUGGAAACGACUGCUAAUACCGCAUAACAUGUACGGAUCGCAUGGUCUGUACAUCAAAGCUUUAUGUGCUGAAAGAUGGUCUCGCGUCUGAUUAGCUAGAUGGCGGGGUAACGGCCCACCAUGGCGACGAUCAGUAGCCGGUCUGAGAGGAUGAACGGCCACAUUGGGACUGAGAUACGGCCCAGACUCCUACGGGAGGCAGCAGUGGGGAAUAUUGGGCAAUGGGGGAAACCCUGACCCAGCAACGCCGCGUGAAGGAAGAAGGCCUUCGGGUUGUAAACUUCUUUUACCAGGGACGAAGAACGUGACGGUACCUGGAGAAAAAGCAACGGCUAACUACGUG
Molecule: ribosomal RNA, 485 nt
Filed under: uncultured bacterium
Lineage: Bacteria
Description: bacterial SSU rRNA
Rfam family: Bacterial small subunit ribosomal RNA
Source: RNAcentral